AGUGAACGCUGGCGGUAGGCCUAACACAUGCAAGUCGAACGGCAGCACAGUAAGAGCUUGCUCUUACGGGUGGCGAGUUGCGGACGGGUGAGGAAUACAUCGGAAUCUACCUUUUCGUGGGGGAUAACGUAGGGAAACUUACGCUAAUACCGCAUACGACCCACGGGUGAAAGCAGGGGAUCUUCGGACCUUGCGCGAUUGAAUGAGCCGAUGUCGGAUUAGCUAGUUGGCGGGGGAAAGGCCCACCAAGGCGACGAUCCGUAGCUGGUCUGAGAGGAUGAUCAGCCACACUGGAACUGAGACACGGUCCAGACUCCUACGGGAGGCAGCAGUGGGGAAUAUUAGACAAUGGACGCAAGCCUGAUACAGCCAUACCGCGUGGGUGAAGAAGGCCUUCGGGUUGUAAAGCCCUUUUGUUGGGAAAGAAAAGCAGCAGGUUAAUACCCCGCUGUUCUGACGGUACCCAAAGAAUAAGCACCGGCUAACUUCGUG
Molecule: ribosomal RNA, 492 nt
Filed under: uncultured bacterium
Lineage: Bacteria
Description: partial 16S ribosomal RNA
Rfam family: Bacterial small subunit ribosomal RNA
Source: RNAcentral